RNAcentral lists this small nuclear RNA (106 nucleotides) under Tursiops truncatus (common bottlenose dolphin). Lineage: Eukaryota; Metazoa; Chordata; Mammalia; Artiodactyla; Delphinidae. The record is from RNAcentral. RNAcentral also lists the same sequence under 1 other name.
GUGCUCGCUUCGGCCGCACACAUACUAAAACUGGAACUAUACAGAGAAGACAGCAGGGCCCCUGCACAAGGAUGACGCGCAAAUUCGCGAAGCGUUCCGUAUGUCU